UCGUAACAAGGUUUCCGUAGGUGAACCUGCGGAAGGAUCAUUAAAGAGUAAGGGUGCUCAGCGCCCGACCUCCAACCCUUUGUUGUUAAAACUACCUUGUUGCUUUGGCGGGACCGCUCGGUCUCGAGCCGCUGGGGAUUCGUCCCAGGCGAGCGCCCGCCAGAGUUAAACCAAACUCUUGUUAUUUAACCGGUCGUCUGAGUUAAAAUUUUGAAUAAAUCAAAACUUUCAACAACGGAUCUCUUGGUUCUCGCAUCGAUGAAGAACGCAGCGAAAUGCGAUAAGUAAUGUGAAUUGCAGAAUUCAGUGAAUCAUCGAAUCUUUGAACGCACAUUGCGCCCCUUGGUAUUCCGAGGGGCAUGCCUGUUCGAGCGUCAUUACACCACUCAAGCUAUGCUUGGUAUUGGGUGCCGUCCUUAGUUGGGCGCGCCUUAAAGACCUCGGCGAGGCCUCACCGGCUUUAGGCGUAGUAGAAUUUAUUCGAACGUCUGUCAAAGGAGAGGACUUCUGCCGACUGAAACCUUUAUUUUUCUAGGUUGACCUCGGAUCAGGUAGGGAUACCCGCUGAACUUAAGCAUAUC
RNAcentral lists this unclassified non-coding RNA (581 nucleotides) under Aureobasidium melanogenum. Its description in RNAcentral is "sequence contains 18S rRNA gene, ITS1, 5.8S rRNA gene, ITS2, 28S rRNA gene". The stretch from base 224 to 377 matches the Rfam family "5.8S ribosomal RNA". The record is from RNAcentral. Lineage: Eukaryota; Fungi; Ascomycota; Dothideomycetes; Dothideales; Saccotheciaceae.